CGCAUGGCUUGUUGCUUCUCAGAGGGGGCUGGCUACUAACAAUGCUGCUCCGUAAGUCUGAGAAAUACUUCUCUCAUUGAGGAGAAUGAGACCAAGGAGAGGUCUGCUCAUGGACCACUGAUUCCGACAGUCUUCAAAUAUAUGAUGAUAUUGAGAACAGUGGAGAGCAUCUGCUGGGAUCAUUUCAGGGUGUUGCUGCAUAAUGUGCAGGAAGCGCUCGCUCUCUUGUGGUGGUGG
Molecule: non-coding RNA, 237 nt
Organism: Pelobates cultripes (western spadefoot toad)
Lineage: Eukaryota; Metazoa; Chordata; Amphibia; Anura; Pelobatidae
Source: the annotation of a GenBank genome assembly